AUUGAACGCUGGCGGCAUGCUUUACACAUGCAAGUCGAACGGUAACAGGCCGCUAGGUGCUGACGAGUGGCGAACGGGUGAGUAAUGCAUCGGAACGUGCCCAGUCGUGGGGGAUAACUACUCGAAAGAGUAGCUAAUACCGCAUACGAUCUAUGUAUGAAAGGGGGGGGGCGUAAGGCCUCGCGCGAUUGGAGCGGGCGAUGUGAGAUUAGGUAGUUGGUGGGGUAAAGGCUCACCAAGCCAACGAUCUGUAGCUGGGCUGAGAGGACGACCAGCCACACUGUGACUGAGACACGGCCCAGACUCCUACGGGAGGCAGCAGUGGGGAAUUUUGGACAAUGGGCGCAAGCCUGAUCCAGCAAUGCCGCGUGCAGGAAGAAGGCCUUCGGGUUGUAAACUGCUUUUGUACGGAACGAAACGGCUCUGGUUAAUACCCGGGGCUAAUGACGGUACCGUAAGAAUAAGCACCGGCUAACUACGUG
RNAcentral lists this ribosomal RNA (482 nucleotides) under uncultured bacterium. RNAcentral describes it as "partial 16S ribosomal RNA". It matches the Rfam family "Bacterial small subunit ribosomal RNA", at positions 30 to 507 of the family's 1533-position model. The record is from RNAcentral.